GAUGAACGCUGGCGGCGUGCCUAAUACAUGCAAGUCGAGCGAACGGACGAGAAGCUUGCUUCUCUGAUGUUAGCGGCGGACGGGUGAGUAACACGUGGAUAACCUACCUAUAAGACUGGGAUAACUUCGGGAAACCGGAGCUAAUACCGGAUAAUAUUUUGAACCGCAUGGUUCAAAAGUGAAAGACGGUCUUGCUGUCACUUAUAGAUGGAUCCGCGCUGCAUUAGCUAGUUGGUAAGGUAACGGCUUACCAAGGCAACGAUGCAUAGCCGACCUGGGAGGGUGAUCGGCCACACUGGAACUGAGACACGGUCCAGACUCCUACGGGAGGCAGCAGUAGGGAAUCUUCCGCAAUGGGCGAAAGCCUGACGGAGCAACGCCGCGUGAGUGAUGAAGGUCUUCGGAUCGUAAAACUCUGUUAUUAGGGAAGAACAUAUGUGUAAGUAACUGUGCGCAUCUUGACGGUACCUAAUCAGAAAGCCACGGCUAACUACGUG
This 497-nucleotide ribosomal RNA is filed under the name uncultured bacterium. RNAcentral's name for it is "partial 16S ribosomal RNA". It matches the Rfam family "Bacterial small subunit ribosomal RNA", at positions 28 to 507 of the family's 1533-position model. The record is from RNAcentral.